AGUAACUGAAAGAUGGGUUGAAUGGAAUGAGGGGAUAAAUUGUUAGGUUGUGUAUUGGGAUGUUUACCUUGUAGGUGUCCCACGGGAUCACCAAUUUAUUUUGCACCUUCGGGAGCAUUUGACUGAUAUGUGUUUCUGCAGAACACUAGACUGAUAUGAACGUCCCUCGGGGCGUUAGACUGAUAUGUACGUCCCUCGGGGCGUUAGACUGAUAUGUACGUCCCUCGGGGCGUUAGACUGAUAUGUACGUCCUUCGGGGCGUUAGACUGAAAUGUGUAUCCUACGCGAUCACAAGACUGCGACUGUACAGGGUGUCCCAAUAGAACUUUAACAAUUUAUUUUUCCCUGACGGAGACCAGUAAGGGUCUCUUACUGAGUAUUGUUAUACUCACCCUUCUUAUGUUUAAUUUUCAGGCAAAGGAAAUAAAGGUGGCAAACCGGCGAGGGGGAGGAAGGAAGCGUGAUUGCCAUAGGAAAUGUGUCAUUUUGCUUCCGCUUAUGGUUUCUUUUAAGGUUUAAGAUGUACUAAAACUUAGUUUACAAACUUUUAUUUGUAAAUAGUGUUAUUUUUAAGUUUUCUUGAAUAUUUGAAAAUCAGGCCUGACAUAGAUUGUUUUUAAAUUGACUUACGCUUCAUUUUGUAUCAACUAAAGUCUUUUAUUAAAAAUUAAUGACCUCGACUUACCUAGAAAAGUUGGGUCGUUACAGUUGGUAUCAGAGCCUAAGUUUUAGGUUCUGUAGACUGACUUACGAUGUAAGUCUAUGUUUUUGUGUUCCUAUGGCUAACGCGACCCUUCGUCUCUCGUCAGGUAUGCUUGAUGCUUAUAUGUAUGGUUUAUUUGCAUGACCUUGCCUAAAUUAAACUAGAUUGCAUGACGAUAAAGACUUGCUUAUGUUUAUGAUUAAGAUUUUGUUAAAGAGUGUUGUUGGUGGUAAUAGGAAUUAUGCCGCCAAGGGAAGAAGUACGUAGAGGAGGUCGUAGAGAGCAGGAGGCCGAGGUAGAGGAGCAGGUCGUAAUCAGCCUACUGAGGGUCAAGCUGAACAGCGAAUUCCUGCUGCACCCGUGACUCACGUUGAGUUUGAUGCACUGUCUGCUCACAUGGAGCAGAGGUUUACAGAACUUAUGACAGCUAUAGCUCAAAACCAGCAGGCACCUGCGGUUCCACCUGCACCUGUAGUUCCCCUGCACCAGCAGCCCCUCCUGCACAAGAAUUACCUAACCAACUUUCUGCUGAGGCGAAACAUUUGAGGGACUUUCGGAAGUAUGACCCUCAGACGUUUGAUGGGUCACUGGAGGAUCCUACUAAAGCUGAAAUGUGGUUGUCCUCUGUGGAAACCAUAUUUAAUUACAUGAGAUGUCCGAGGAGCACAGAGUUCAGUGUGCUGCUUUUCUACUGAGGGACAGAGGCAUUAUCUGGUGGAGGACUACAAUGCGCAUGCUAGGUGGAGAUGUGAGGCAAAUUACCUGGGAUCAGUUUAAGAACUGCUUCUAUACCAAGUUUUUCUCGGCUAACCUUAGAGACGCCAAAAGCCAGGAAUUCUUGGAGUUGAAGCAAGGAUAUAUGACAGUCGAGGAGUACGACCAGGAGUUUGAUAUGCUGUCACGUUUUGCCCCUGAGCUUGUUAGUAAUGAGCAGGCUAGAGCUGAUAGGUUCGUCAAGGGAUUGAGAGAUGAAAUUAGGGGUUUUGUGCGAGCACUAAAGCCCACUACCCAAGCUGAAGCACUGCGUCUGGCAGUGGAUAUGAGUAUUGGGAAGGAUGAAAGACAGCCAAGGAGCUUUAAUAAGGGAUCGUCGUCGAGUCAAAAGAGAAAAGUAGAGCAGAGAACUGUAGGAGUUCCUCAGAGGAACUUGAGACCAGGUGAUCCUUUUCGCAGUUUCCAGCAGAGUUCUGGCGGUGCAGGAGACACUACUCAAGAGAGGCCAGUAUGUAAUACGUGUGGGAAACGCCACCUGGGUCGUUGUUUGAUGGGAACGAGAGUCUGUUAUAAGUGCAAGCAAGAGGGACACAUGGCUGAUAGGUGUCCCUUGAGAUCUACUGGGGCUGGAUCGAGCAGUCAGGGAGAGAGACCUCCACAGCGGGGUACAAUCUUUGCCACUAAUAGAUCAGAGGCAGAGAAGGCCGGCACAGUAGUGACAGGUACAUUACCAGUAUUAGGGCAUUUUGCCUUGACCUUGUUUGACUCGGGAUCUUCUCAUUCAUUUAUUUCAUCGCUUUUUGUGACGCAUGCAUGCUUAGAGGUGGAACCCUUAGACUAUGUUUUGUCAGUGUCUACACCGUCUGGAGAAAUUAUGUUGUCUAAGGAAAAGAUUAAAGCAUGUGAAAUUGAGAUAGCUGGUCGUGUGCUGGACGUAACCUUGUUGGUAUUAGAUAUGCGUGACUUUGAUGUAAUUUUAGGUAUGGAUUGGCUAGCUACUAAUCAUGCUAGUAUUGAUUGUUCUCGUAAGGAAGUUGUGUUUAGUCCCCCUACUGCAUCUAGCUUUAAAUUCAAGGGAGUAGGAACAGUAGUACUGCCUAAAGUAAUCUCAGCUAUGAAAGCUAGUAAACUACUCAGCCAGGGUACUUGGAGUAUUUUGGCAAGUGUGGUGGAUACUAGGGAAGGUGAGACUUCUUUAACUUCAGAACCUGUGGUAAGAGAAUACCCAGAUGUAUUUCCAAAAGAUCUUCCAGGACUGCGCCACAUAGAGAGUUGAUUUUGCCAUUGAGUUGGAGCCAAACACUACUCCUAUUUCUAGAGCCCCUUAUAGGAUGGCUCCUGCUGAGUUGAAAGAACUGAAGGUACAGUUACAGGAAUUGCUUGACAAAGGCUUUAUUCGACCUAGUGUGUCACCUUGGGGUGCACCAGUAUUGUUUGUGAAGAAGAAGGAUGGGUCGAUGCGUCUUUGCAUUGACUAUAGAGAGUUGAAUAAAGUAACAGUCAAGAACAGGUAUCCUUUACCCAGAAUCGAUGAUUUGUUCGAUCAGUUACAGGGAGCCACGGUGUUCUCUAAGAUUGACUUACGGUCAGGUUAUCACCAGUUGAGGAUUAGAGACCGUGAUAUUCCUAAGACUGCUUUUCGUUCGAGGUAUGGACAUUAUGAAUUCAUAGUAAUGUCUUUUGGUUUGACUAAUGCACCUGCUGUAUUUAUGGAUUUGAUGAACAGGGUGUUUAAGGAUUUCUUGGACACUUUUGUGAUAGUCUUCAUUGAUGAUAUUUUGGUUUAUUCCAAGACUGAAGCCGAACAUGAGGAACACUUACAUAAGGUGUUAGAGACUCUUCGAGUCAAUAAACUGUAUGCUAAGUUUCUAAGUGCGAAUUUUGGUUGAAGCAGGUGGCUUUUCUUGGUCAUGUGGUUUCCAGUGAGGGAGUUUCUGUAGACCCUGCAAAGAUAGAAGCGGUUACCAGUUGGCCUCGACCCUCUACAGUUAGUGAGGUUCGUAGUUUUCUGGGUUUAGCAGGGUAUUACCGGAGGUUUGUGGAGGAUUUUUCACGUUUGGCUACUCCUUUGACUCAGUUGACAAGGAAGGGAACUCCGUUUGUUUGGAGUCCAGCUUGUGAGGAUAGUUUUCAGAACUUAAAGCAAAGGUUAGUUACUGCACCGGUCCUUACUGUACCAGAUGGAUCUGGAAGUUUUGUGAUUUACAGUGAUGCUUCCAAGAAAGGACUGGGUUGUGUUUUGAUGCAGAAAGGUAAGGUGGUUGCUUAUGCCUCUCGUCAGUUGAAGAGUCACGAGCAGAACUACCCCACACAUGAUUUGGAGUUGGCAGCAGUGGUUUUUGCAUUGAAGAUAUGGAGACAUUACUUGUACGGUGAAAAGAUACAAAUCUUUACUGACCAUAAGAGCCUAAAGUACUUCUUCACUCAGAAGGAGUUGAAUAUGAGACAGCGAAGGUGGCUCGAGUUGGUAAAAGAUUAUGACUGUGAGAUAUUAUACCAUCCUGGUAAGGCGAAUGUGGUGGCUGAUGCUCUUAGUAGAAAAGUAUCACAUUCGGCAGCACUCAUUACUAGACAGGUACCAUUGCAUCGAGACUUGGAGAGAGCUGAGAUUGCAGUGUCUGUGGGGAGAGUCACCUCACAGCUAGCUCAAUUAACGGUGCAACCGACUCUGAGGCACAAGAUUGUUGAUGCUCAGAGUAAUGAUCCUUAUUUGAUGGAGAGACGUCGCCUUGUUGAAACAGGGCAGACUGAUGAGUUCUCCAUAUCCUCUGAUGGUGGGUUGAUGUUUGAGAGACGUUUAUGUGUGCCAGCGAACAGUACAGUUAAGAUUGACUUACUAGAUGAAGCCCAUAAUUCCCCAUUUUCCAUGCAUCCUGGUAGCACGAAAAUGUAUCAGGAUCUAAAACGAUUUUAUUGGUGGCGGAAUAUGAAAAGGGAAGUGGCAGAAUUUGUUAGUAAGUGUCUAGUAUGUCAGCAAGUUAAGGCACCUAGACAGAAACCAGCAGGUUUAUUACAACCCUUAAGUGUGCCAGAGUGGAAGUGGGAGAAUGUGUCGAUGGAUUUUAUUUCAGGGCUGCCUAAGACCCUGAAGGGUUUCACAGUGAUUCUGGUUGUCAUAGACAGGCUUACGAAAUCGGCACAUUUUGUACCAGGAAAAUCCACUUAUACUGCUAGUAAGUGGGCAGAGUUGUAUUUAACUGAGAUUGUGAGACUGCAUGGAGUGCCUGUAUCGAUUGUUUCUGAUAGGGAUGCACGGUUUACUUCCAAGUUUUGGAAGGGACUUCAGACUGCUAUGGGUACGAGAUUGGAUUUCAGUACAGCCUUUCAUCCACAGACUGAUGGUCAAACUGAACGUUUGAACCAAGUUUUAGAGGAUAUGCUACGAGCUUGUGUUAUAGAGUUUCCAGGUAGUUGGGACUCUCAUCUACAUUUGAUGGAGUUUGCUUAUAACAACAGUUUCCAGGCUACCAUCGGUAUGGCACCAUUUGAGGCUUUGUAUGGCAAAUGUUGUAGAACCCCUGUUUGUUGGAGUGAGGUUGGUGAACAUAGAUUGAUGGGACCUGAAUUAGUUCGGUCUACUAAUGAGGCUAUUCAAACGAUUAGGACGCGUAUGCAAACAGCGCAGAGUAGACAGAAGAGUUAUGCAGAUGUACGGCGAAAAGACCUUAAGUUCGAUGUGGGAGAAAAGGUAUUCUUGAAGGUAGCACCUAUGAAGGGUGUUAUGCGUUUUGAGAAGAAAGGAAAGUUAAGUCCUCGUUUUGUUGGACCAUUUGAGGUCUUAGAGAGGGUUGGCGUUGUGGCGUAUCGCUUGGCGUUACCACCAUCACUCUCUGCAGUUCAUAAUGUUUUCCAUGUUUCGAUGUUGAGGAAGUAUGUGGCCGAUACAUCUCAUGUAGUGGACUAUGAAACCUUGGAGAUUGACGAGCAUUUGAGCUAUGUUGAACAACCUGUGGAGAUUUUGGCUAGAGAGGUAAAGAUGCUUCGUAAUAGAAGCAUUCCAUUAGUAAAGGUUUUGUGGCGGAAUCAUCGAAUUGAAGAGGCGACAUGGGAGCGAGAGGAAGAAAUGAGGACUCGUUAUCCAGAGUUAUUUCAGGAUUAGAACUUUCGAGGACGAAAGUUUCUUAAGGAGGGAAGAAUGUAAUGCCCAAAGAAAAGGUAAAUAUAUAUAUAUAUAUAUAUAUAUAUAUAUAUUUUAUUUUUACUUUAAUAUUAAAAAUUUCUUUAUUAUUUUUCUUUUCUUCUUUUCCUUUUCUUUUCUUUUCUCCCUUCUUCUUCCCCGUGCGAUCGUGACUCCCAUCCAUCUUCUCCUUCUUUCCGCCGAUCUCUUCCUUCCAUUUUCUCCUUCCGCCGCAGCCCAGCAACCGCCGUAGCCCAGCAACCGCCACCCGAGACUUCUCUUCUUCCGUUUCUCUUUCUUUUUCACCAUACCCAGCCGCGAAGCAAGACCGUGCCGCUGCCAGUCCAGAUUUGCGUUGCAGUCGUCCCGCGCGCCGAAUUGCCGUCUCCAUCUCCGUUCGCGAAGCAAAACCGCCGCCGCUCGCCGAACCCAACCGCCACCCUCUCUUUUCUUCUUCAGAUCUAAACCGUCGCGCCCAUCCGCCUGUAACCGUCGUGCCUCUUCGCUCACAACCGUCGUGCCUCCCUCGCAAAGCAAAUCGUCGUCCAGAUCUGCCUCGCCGUGAACCAUUGGGCUCAUAUUUGGGUAAGAACAAGUUAUGGUUUUUGUUGGUUUCUUGGUUUUUGUUGGAUGCUGCCAUUGGAUUUAAUUGUUGGCGAAAUGCUUAAUUCUUGAAGGUACAUCUUGAUUCAGUGAGCGAAUCCUUGAUUUUCCAAAAGGUUGAAGUGGACUUGAUUUCUCCACUUCUUGGGUAAGUUGUGGAAUUUACAUAUGGGGUAAUUUGAAUGGUUGAAACUAUUUAGAAAGAUGUUGAUUUUAUGAUUGAUUAUGUUUAGGAUUUGAUUCAUUGGAUUUAGUAGAUUGAAGAACUUGCAUAAAAGUGAGGUAAGGGAUUUUCUACUGGACUUACCUAAAGUUUUUGAGUUGUGUUGGACUGUAUGGAUGAUGAUUAAGAUGUACAUGUUUGAUUGCAGACUAAAUGUUUAGUGUAUGUUGUAUUUGACUGGAAACAUAUAUAUAUACAUUGAUGUGUGAAUUGAUGUGGAUUGCCGAAAGUAUACAUGUGAAUGACUGAAAUUAUGCUUCUGUGUACAUGAUGAUAUUAAUAGAUUGUGCUGUAUAAAGAUUGGAUGUGAACUAGUGAAUUUGUUUCAGUUGGAUGUGGAUUAUACUGAACUGUGGUUUGUGCUGGUGAACUGAGGGGUGUAUUGACUUGACUGUAUAGUGAAUUGACUGAUGUAUUAGCAUAUUAUUGACAGACAUAUGACUGUAGUAAAAUAAGUUGACUGUUAGGAUGUUGAAAGAAAGGACUUUGUGAUUUGAAGUAACUGAAAGAUGGGUUGAAUGGAAUGAGGGGAUAAAUUGUUAGGUUGUAUUGGGAUGUUUACCUUGUAGGUGUCCCACGGGAUCACCAAUUUAUUUUGCACCUUCGGGAGUAUUUGACUGAUAUGUGUUUCUGCAGAACACUUGACUGAUAUGUACGUCCCUCGGGGCGUUAGACUGAUAUGUACGUCCCUCGGGGCGUUAGACUGAUAUGUACGUCCCUCGGGGCGUCAGACUGAUAUGUACGUCCUUCGGGGCGUUAGACUGAAAUGUGUAUCCUACGGGAUCACAAGACUGCGACUGUACAGGGUGUCCCAAUAGAACUUUAACAAUUUAUUUUCCCCUGACGAGACCAGUAUAGGGUCUCUUACUGAGUAUUUAAAAUACUCACCCUUCUUAUGUUUAAUUUUCAGGCAAAGGAAAUAAAGGUGGCAAACCGGCGAGGGGCAGGAAGGAAGCGUGAUUGCCAUAGGAAAUGUGUCAUUUUGCUUCCGCUUAUGGUUUCUUUUAAGGUUUAAGAUGUACUAAAACUUAGUUUACAAACUUUUAUUUGUAAAUAGUGUUAUUUUUAAGUUUUCUUGAAUAUUUGAAAAUCAGGCCUGACA
This 7462-nucleotide long non-coding RNA is filed under the name Cucumis sativus (cucumber). RNAcentral describes it as "long non-coding RNA (CSAT_LNC003058)". The record is from RNAcentral. Lineage: Eukaryota; Viridiplantae; Streptophyta; Magnoliopsida; Cucurbitales; Cucurbitaceae.